Molecule: long non-coding RNA, 3743 nt
Organism: Anguilla rostrata (American eel)
Lineage: Eukaryota; Metazoa; Chordata; Actinopteri; Anguilliformes; Anguillidae
Exons: 2
Source: RefSeq, a predicted model, not a curated record
GUUGUGCUCUCUUUCAGUCAGGGCCCCUGGACUUGAACCCCCCCCCCCCAACUCUCUCAAUUUAAGGCACACCUGAAUUCAGCUAACAAUUAGCAUUGUGCUGUGCUGCCAACAAAUCAACAAUCAAAAAUAUGACUGAUAAUGAAGAAUAUAUAUAUAUUAUAUAUAUAUAUAUAUAUAUUAUAUAUAUAUAUAUAGUCAAGUAUGUUCCUUUAACAGCAAUUUGCAAUCACUGCAAGCUUGAGCCCAGGAAUAGCCAGCCUCAGUUGCCAUGCAGCCAGGCAAAACCUUGUGGUACAAAAUAUGUUAUGCCCAUCCGUGUUAUUGUAUACCAUCCUGUAGGUUUUCACUCCAGCCCUAACAAAGCACACCUCAUUCAACAGCCAGAGAUCUCGUUUAACUGCUAAUUAGUAGAAUCACGUGUGCCAAAUUAGGGUUGAAAUGAAGACCUGUAGGACAGUUACAGAAACGAGGUUGGGAAGCCCCAAUCUCAUGGUACUACCUUCUAAUGAUGUCACAAUAUGCCUUCUUAAAAACAAAAUCAUGCCAAGUGGUCAUACUAACACCUUGUAAGGUUUCUCUAAGAAACUUUCUUUUUAAAUGGUAAGGAAGCAGUUCGCUUAUGAAACUGCAAAACUGACAAAAAUUGGCAGGACAAUAUGUCAAAAGAAAAAAUUGGCCUGAUGUUGUAAGCUGUAGUUAUUCACUGUGUAACUGGGUAACAUGUCAAAUGUAGGCUAUAUUAAAUAAAUUGUGAUCCUUGUAAGGAGCACUGGACAGGCAAAUGAAUACUUCAGAGUUUAAACAUGUUCUGAACACACUGACCUUGGCUUUACCCAAGGCUCCACUGAGAAUGGUAUAUUCUGGAUUAAAGCAAGCGUUCUUAUUCAGAGUUCUCCAGGACUGUGGAACUCAUUAGGUGACCAGAGUGUGCAUUUUACACAUUGAAUAAAGAAGAAAGAUUCCUAACAAAGGUACCUAUAUUCAUACAAUAUGAGAUUGUUGCUUUAGAAGGCUAUUCCAUCUCUGUGACUACUUGAGCUCACUUGUAAGGGAACAAGAUUUAUCGCUAAACAAUCAAGAUUUACAAUCUAACAUAAAACCUCACAAGUCUCCAAUCUCCACCACGUCUUUUGUCUAUCAUUGUCCCGAGUAGUGGAAGGAGCUUACGACUGUGAUCAGGACAGCAGAGGCACUGUCCAUCUGUGCUGCAGACUGGAAACAGACCUUUAAGCUGCACUUUGGAUCACCUAUUGCUGAACAUUUUGUGUGGAUUUACUAGCCUCUAUGAUAAAUCUAAAGCUAUGACCUUAAACGCAUUUGCUUCCAAAUAAUUCUACAUUUUCGAUCCCUCUUGCACCCACUAUGGAAUCUAACUUUAUGUUGUAAGACUAAAUGUUGACUGGUACUAUCGGUUGUGAACGUUGAGGAUCUAGCAUCACACUGCCCAGUGCCUGACCCUGCAUAUAUGUGUGUCAGAUGCUCUGGAUAAUAGUGUCUGCUCAGUACCAGUAUGUAAAUAUUAAAGGUGAUGAACCUUGUCUAGAGUUCACGUCUGCGGUACACACACGCCUGUCUCACCACACCUUGAGACUCUGCUGGCGCACCUUGCUUUCCCCACAGUGACUCAGCAGGGCUGCCACAUAAUUUACAUAGUGUAUGUCAAAGGCUUUCUCUUCCUCUUAAAGGCUUUCUGAGCCUGCAAUUUCGAAAGCAGUGUUAUUGAAAUAUAUGGGCAGGCACACACUCUAAGCAGCAGCAAACUGGACUUAGCAACUCCAUUUGUUAAAAUGGCAAGUUUACUUCCAGUUUGCCAUCAAGAUGUGUUGCAGUCUAUCUUAACCUUGUUCACUUUCCCUAAAGCAGGCACAUCUAAUCACUGGCCCCGCCCAUCUUCUCUGGUAGGUGUACUGUAUAUGUUCCCAGUGGACACGGGGUGAUGGGUGUGAUGCCGGUCCAGUCAGAUGGAGGAAAGGAGAUGGGGGCACACAGCCAUAUACCUGCAACUGCAGGAGAAUCUUUCACUUAUGACUGUGAAACAAUUCUGGCUCCAGAGCCAAGUGCCGGGUGUACUUUGGCUCUUCUGCUGGCUGAUGAAAUCAUUUUGUUGAUUGCCUCUGCCAAAUUUAGAAAAAUAUAAUUCCAGUGCUUGAUAUGAGAAUGGGCUAUGAAGCACAUUGACGUGCAAUAUUAACAGAAUUAAUUAAUAUACUGAAUUAUAAUAACACUCAUUUUAUAUCAUUACAAUCAGAUGUUAUGAAUAGGGUUGUCUGUUUAGUGUUCGUGGUUCGGCGAGGUUAAAAUUAACAUAUUUGUUGCCAUCUAGUGGUGACAAUGUGCAACAAGAAGAGAACUUGUUUUAUGUAUGGAGGGAAAAAUGCUACACUGGAUGACGCAAGCACUUCAAUGUUCCACAGCACAUUCUGUUUCCAUGCCAAUGCAAAAGAAGGCAGAUGUUCCACAGAUUUGACAGUCUUUAGAUCACGUGCGGGUGUGUUGGUGUAGUGCUUUUUAUACUUUUUAUCCUUUCAUUCAUCUUGAAAAGCCAUUGCCUUCUGUCAACCAUGUCAUUGCAUGUCAUUGCUUUCCAUUUUGUUUAUAUUUGCUACAGAUGUUUCCAGAAGAACAUUAAUGCUUAAGCUAACUGGCAUAGCAUUUUAUUACUGGGAUGUUUUUUCAAUCAAUUACCUUUUGUGAGUUUUUGUAGAUAUUUUGACUUGUAUAAUUUUUGUUACUAUAAUGCAUGUCAUAUGUACGUAAUUAUUAUUAUUAUCCUUGAAAAGGAAACCGUGCAUUAAAUAAGCUUAAUUAAGGCAUCGCAUAAUUAAAACAGAAUGGGCAAAGCCAAAAGCCUGGGAUUAAGUUUACACAAACAGCUCUAUGGUGACAUUUCAGGACAUUUUCUCUGUUCUUUGUUGCUCACCUCAUUAUGGUAAAAAUUAGGAGAAAAUGGGAAAAUUAGAAAUCCGUCUUGCCUUUUAAGUCUUGUAUUUCCAGACAUGGUCUACAUAUUACAAUUAAAGUUACAGUUUUUUCAUCAAAUGAGUGUGGUUACACAGUACCCUCUACCAAAGCUCUCCUCAUUACCCGAGCACUAUAAUAGCAGCCAUGUGCUGUAAUUCACUUGGUUUUCUAUUUGCUUUAAAAAUAAAACCAUUUCCACUAAAUUAAAUAAUGCUUUCUGUGUUUUGGUUAUUGUUUUUGUAAUUCCUUCAGAAAGUUUAGUUAUUUCUAAUUUUGCUGUGUUGCAAAGUCAAAUGAAAAUAUAUUUAAAUGAGUUUUCUUAUACUCCUACUGCAUAUAAGUAACUCUCUAUCGUGUCAAAAUGAAAUACAGUAUUUAGAUAUCUUCAAAGUUAUAUGAAAAUUUUAAAUAAAAGUAAAUGGAGCCAGGUGUAUUCCAUUGCCUUGAGAGGUCACAUUUGAAUUUCAAUCUUCCCAGGAGCACCGUUAAGUCCACUGUAGCAAAAUGGGACAAAUAUUGCAUGGCUCAGAAACUGCCAAGAUAAAGCCUAACUGAGCAACUGGAAGAGAAGGACGAUUCUAAGAGAAGUGACCAAGAGGCUAGCUACAACACUGAUAGCAGCACAGCUCAUUGGCUUCAAUGGGAGAAACUGUCCAGAGGUCAAUGAGAAAGGGGGUGAAUUAUUUUGCUUCAGAAUGUGUUUGUUCAUUCUGCUAACGAAGGGUGGGGGGUAAGGGGGGUUGGAAUUAAUUACAGUUUAAAGUUGUAAUGGGACAAAA